GCGGAUAUGGCGGAAUUGGCAGACGCGCUAGAUUUAGGUUCUAGUGUCUUAGGACGUGCAGGUUCAACUCCUGUUAUCCGCA
This 82-nucleotide transfer RNA is filed under the name Anaerostipes sp. 494a. It matches the Rfam family "tRNA". From Rfam's summary of the family: Transfer RNA (tRNA) molecules are approximately 80 nucleotides in length. Their secondary structure includes four short double-helical elements and three loops (D, anti-codon, and T loops). RNAcentral also lists the same sequence under 2 other names. The record is from Rfam by way of RNAcentral. Lineage: Bacteria; Bacillati; Bacillota; Clostridia; Lachnospirales; Lachnospiraceae.